CGCCUCUUGACUAUAAUAAGAGGUCUAGCCUGCCCAGUGAUAAAUUCAACGGCCGCGGUACCCUAACCGUGCAAAGGUAGCAUAAUCACUUGUUCUCUAAAUAAGGACUUGUAUCAACGGCAUCACGAGGGUUACACUGUCUCCUCUCUCCAAUCAGUGAAACUGAUCUCCCCAUGAAAAAGUGGGGAUAACCUUAUAAGACGAGAAGACCCCAUGGAGCUUUAAACCCAAUAGCAAUUUAGUAACACUACCUUCCUAUAAUUUACAAAAUCAUGCUAGAGGCUUUAGGUUGGGAGGACCGCGGAGUAAAAACUAACCUCCGCAACGAAAAAGAUUUAAAUCUUUACCAAAGAGCCACUACUCCAAGGAUUAGAAAACUAACGUAAAGUGACCCGAUAACGAUCAACGAACCAAGUUACCCUGGGGAUAACAGCGCAAUCUACUUCAAGAGUUCAUAUCGACAAGUAGGCUUACGACCUCGAUGUUGGAUCAGGGUAUCCCAGUGGUGCAGCCGCUACUCAAGGUUCGUUUGUUCAACGAUUAAAACCCU
RNAcentral lists this ribosomal RNA (550 nucleotides) under Philautus sp. WHT2484. RNAcentral describes it as "partial 16S ribosomal RNA". It matches the Rfam family "Bacterial large subunit ribosomal RNA", at positions 1816 to 2597 of the family's 2925-position model. Lineage: Eukaryota; Metazoa; Chordata; Amphibia; Anura; Rhacophoridae. The record is from RNAcentral.